This 237-nucleotide ribosomal RNA is filed under the name Escherichia coli. RNAcentral describes it as "partial 16S ribosomal RNA". It matches the Rfam family "Bacterial small subunit ribosomal RNA", at positions 1 to 234 of the family's 1533-position model. The record is from RNAcentral. Lineage: Bacteria; Pseudomonadati; Pseudomonadota; Gammaproteobacteria; Enterobacterales; Enterobacteriaceae.
AAAUUGAAGAGUUUGAUCAUGGCUCAGAUUGAACGCUGGCGGCAGGCCUAACACAUGCAAGUCGAACGGUAACAGGAAGCAGCUUGCUGCUUCGCUGACGAGUGGCGGACGGGUGAGUAAUGUCUGGGAAGCUGCCUGAUGGAGGGGGAUAACUACUGGAAACGGUAGCUAAUACCGCAUAAUGUCGCAAGACCAAAGAGGGGGACCUUCGGGCCUCUUGCCAUCGGAUGUGCCCAG